Molecule: transfer RNA, 74 nt
Filed under: Pseudarthrobacter sp. BIM B-2242
Lineage: Bacteria; Bacillati; Actinomycetota; Actinomycetes; Micrococcales; Micrococcaceae
Rfam family: tRNA
About the family: Transfer RNA (tRNA) molecules are approximately 80 nucleotides in length. Their secondary structure includes four short double-helical elements and three loops (D, anti-codon, and T loops).
Source: Rfam by way of RNAcentral
GGUCCUAUAGCUCAGAUGGUUAGAGCACUUCGCUGAUAACGAAGGGGUCGCUGGUUCAAGUCCAGCUAGGGCCA